GACGAACGCUGGCGGCGUGCUUAACACAUGCAAGUCGAACGGAAAGGCCCUGCUUUUGUGGGGUGCUCGAGUGGCGAACGGGUGAGUAACACGUGAGUAACCUGCCCUUGACUUUGGGAUAACUUCAGGAAACUGGGGCUAAUACCGGAUAGGAGCUCCUGCUGCAUGGAGGGGAUUGGAAAGUUUCGGCGGUUGGGGAUGGACUCGCGGCUUAUCAGCUUGUUGGUGGGGUAGUGGCUUACCAAGGCUUUGACGGGUAGCCGGCCUGAGAGGGUGACCGGCGACAGUGGGACUGAGAGACGGACCAGACUCCUACGGGAGGCAGCAGUGGGGAGUAUGGCACAAUGGGCGGAAGCCUGAUGCAGCAACGCCGCGUGCGUGAUGACGGCCUUCGGGUUGUAAACCGCUGCCGCCUGUGACGAAGCGUGAGUGACGGUAAUGGGUAAAGAAGCACCGGCUAACUACGUG
Molecule: ribosomal RNA, 468 nt
Filed under: uncultured bacterium
Lineage: Bacteria
Description: partial 16S ribosomal RNA
Rfam family: Bacterial small subunit ribosomal RNA
Source: RNAcentral